CUACAGGGAGAACAUAUGUCUCAGGUCAGGGAAUAGAUGGGAAGACAGUUUUUGAGAGCAUGAUAAUGAAGGGAGUUUUCAAUACACUGAGUUUUGUACACCUGUAGUAUAUGCAGGUAGAAACAUCCAAUAAGCAGUUAUUACAUACACAUCUGGAUAUCAGAGGGAGGUCUAAGCUGAACUCAUUCAUUGGAACUCAUCAGCCUAUGUUUGGUUCACUGCCAGGUGGAGUGCAUGAACUGCAUCACACAGGGAGAGUGGAGAGGGGCAGUGGGUGAGCAAGAUGAGCGGGUGCGGGAAACCGGAAGCUCUGCCAGGUGAGGUGCUGGCGGGGGAGGAACCCCAGCCAUGGUAAGAGGGGCCUGGAAGACUGUGUUACUGUGGAUGCUGAGAAAUUGUAAAUUUCCGUGAGAACAGAGAGUGACCAAUGGUGGCAAAUGCCACAACAAAGACAAGUAAGAGAAGACUAGGAAAAGUGCCCAGUGGGUUUGACUGCAAUUGACCCUCAAAGAGCAAUUUCCCGUGAGUAAUGAGAACAGAACCCGGACAGAGAGCGAAUGAGGAUGGGCUGCACUGCAAGGAGAGUAAUUAGAGAACGCGAACUCAGACCAUGCCCUGCACACCAGAGAAAGGAAGGCUGACACCAAACAGGAGCUUCCAGGAUGAAAUGGCUAUGACACAAAUAGAUGAGGUAAUUUAUGCAGUGGCACACAGCUGGCGAGUGGAAGAGCAGAAUUCAAGCUCACACAGUCUGGAAUCAAAGGCUUUAUUCUCAACCACUGGGCUACGCUGCCUCCAUUUUUAUGUUAGCAAUCCAGGCAGCAACUUCCUUCUCAUCCAACCUUGACCUUUUGUUUUGUUGGACUCAGUCCCAGAUCUCUGGGACCUGAUGCUGGGACCUGAUGCUGGACUUUGCAGAAUCAUGGAUCAAAUCCAAAUGCUGCAGUACAUAAAGGUUCUGUCUUCUUAAAAAAAAUCCAAAUUCUUGUAGCUCUUUUACAGAAUGCAAUAUAUGUCCAAAAGUUUAUAAUAAGAUUAUCAAAUGUGAUGUUCUAAAAAUCAAAACUCAUGUGCUUAUAAAAAUGAUUUGCUACAUUAUUACACGCUGCUCUUAAGUCUAACAUUCUCUCCAGAAGUUCCCACAGUUAUAAUUUCAAGCCAGUGAAAGUAAUUAAGACAGGAAAAGGGAGAAUCCUUAACUUACUUUCAGCAGAUUUAGAUUUUCUUCCUGUAAUACUCUUUAUGCAGCCCUCCCUGCUGUUGCAAACUCUUAGAUCUACCCCCAAACAUGUUAUUUACAAAGUCUUAAAGUCUCACAGAUAUUUGCAUUUGUUUUGUAAUGUACUCAACAAGUCAUCAUAAUGCUUUAAAAAGAAUUGAAGAAGACACAGCUGGAUCCUUUCUGUACUGUGAGACUGACUCUUCUCAAGAUUUAAGACUGUCUUCCCACAAACCUUCGAAGUAGAUCUAUUGGACUGCUACCUGAAGGAUCUCCUGGAAAUAGGCAUAUCUUUAAAGCUGAUGCCCAUUGCAUCCUCUUCAUUCUGCAUUACAAAUUUUAUAAUGCCCAGUUUGAUUAAAGGAGUGUCUUUAGGCUAUUUGUUAGGGUCCAACUACAACCUUUGAAUAGAGAUUAGGCUGGGCAGCUUGCAAAUCUUGCACAAAAAGUAAAUCUACUCUUUGCUUUGA
Molecule: long non-coding RNA, 1689 nt
Organism: Heterocephalus glaber (naked mole-rat)
Lineage: Eukaryota; Metazoa; Chordata; Mammalia; Rodentia; Bathyergidae
Source: RefSeq, a predicted model, not a curated record